UACGUAGGCGGUUUAUUAAGUCAGAUGUGAAAGCCCCCGGGCUUAACCUGGGAACUGCAUUUGAUACUGGUAAACUAGAGUAUGGUAGGGGGGGGUAGAAUUCCUAGUGUAGCGGUGAAAUGCGUAGAUAUUAGGAGGAAUACCAGUGGCGAAGGCGGCCCCCCUGGCCAAUACUGACGCUGAGGUACGAAAGCGUGGGUAGCGAACA
Molecule: ribosomal RNA, 208 nt
Filed under: uncultured bacterium
Lineage: Bacteria
Description: partial 16S ribosomal RNA
Rfam family: Bacterial small subunit ribosomal RNA
Source: RNAcentral